Oreochromis aureus is the source of this 3810-nucleotide long non-coding RNA. The record is from Ensembl. NCBI's taxonomy places the organism in Eukaryota, Metazoa, Chordata, Actinopteri, Cichliformes, Cichlidae.
AUGACAAAUCAGUGUAAAUUAUUCAUUGAAUUGAAACACAAUUCAAAAAUAAAAACACUGAAAUUCACAAAAUGUGUUCAAAUAUUUGCAGAAAGCGGCAUUUGUACAGCAUGUUCUUACUUCUAGAGCAAUAUUUUUCACUUUAAUCAGCCUUCUCUGUCCACAAGAGCGGGGGGGAAGCAAGCAUUGCUCCUCUUAGCUGAACCAAAGCAUUAUAAAACCAGGAUCACAUAAUGGAGUUAUGUUCUAAACCAAAUUUUUAGCAGGACCUAAAGUAACACACAUUCCUAGCCCCUUUUCACCUACAGUGGAAAGGGGCUUACCCCUCUAAUAUUAUCUGGCCUUUGUCAGUCUUAAUUGAGGUUUGGGCUUGCUUUAAUUGGCUUUUUAAUGAUUUGUGAAUGGGAGCUGCUGUUUAUGGGUUAAGUGCAUCUUAAUCAGAGCUUUAAUCCAGUCAUUAACAGAGAAACAUGAGGUGUCGAGAGCGGCAAGGAGAGGUUGAUAAUUGAGAGGCUGCUUCUUUGCUCCCCGUGAUGUGUGUAUGUAUGUGUGUGUGUGUGUGUGUGUGUGUGUGUGUGUGUGUGCUUGCUUCAACUAUAUUUUAGAGGAAAAAGCUUCCCGUUGGUGAUGUCAGUAAAAUUUUUCAUUGCACCAUAAAAGACAAACACUUGCUGUACAUAUUUUGCCACAUCCUUAUAUUUUUGCUCUGAUUAUUUCAGAGGUAAAAAUGUAAGGACUCAAUGAUGAAAAACACCGGGUGAAAUAAAAAUCAGCAAAGAACUUUUCACAUUUUCUUUAUCUCAGUACAUAUAUUUGUUUCCCCACUGAUAAUAUUCUACGUAUCAAUACUGAAAGUAAAACUAGAUUGGUUUUGUCCGCCCUCCCCUUUCCUCUCUGCUGUUCAGCUGUCACAAUUUCUGAGUUUUUCUCACUGUAUAUUUUAGCACCUACCCCGCGUGAGGCCUGUGUGCUUCUAUACCCCCACUCUCGUCCCCUUCUAAUGCGCGCACACACGGCGUGGAAACAACGAGCCUAUAUUGAAUAAACAUACUGCUUUUAGAUAGGUUCCUAAUUUGCAUCAUCCUUUGCAACGUGUGUUUUUCACCAAUUUUAGUGUAAUUUAUUACAGACUUACACACACCUUCUGAUCCUAUAAAAGCACUGUCAAUUGCUCCCAAACCUUCAGUGCUAGUCACCCUCUUACAGCAGAUCAUCGACAAAUAAAAAUCCCAAAAAUAGCCCACUCAUACUCUGCUGGUGGCAAAGCACCUGAGAAAAUUAGGCUACCAGAGAGGCAGUGCAUUUGGAUCUUCUGAGGAUUAAGCAAGUUUUAACUGUCACCGACUAACCAGUCAAGUCAAAACAGUUUAAAAAAAGGUUUCUUUUAAAAGAUUAGAAUCGCAGUAAUUUGAACCCGGAUCCAAAAUCGCCAAUAAUUCUAAAACCUGGCCCAUGUUUUAACCCCCCUUUUUUCGUACAUACUUCCGCUUUAUGCAACACCGUGUCCGCUUCAUUGUGUCACUACUGUGCAUAUUUGUGUAUUAAUAUAAAGUGCAAAGAUGAGGUCCCGAUGACGGGACGAAUACUGUGGCCCGAGUUUCACCACUAAUCGACUCUCCCUGUGAAAGUGUGAAAACAUUUAGAGGCCAUUAACAGCACAAGAUGAUACUUCCUCCCAGGUCAGCAGAUCAAAGGCAGCUGUCAGCCCCGACAGGCAACGUCUCUCUGAUGUUGACGACUCGCCCUCAAGUAUUCAUUUCAGUCCGUGCAUGCAUACAAAGAUUAAGACUGGAUCUGCAGGAUACUGAGGCAUAUUAACUAUGGGGCUGAUAGCGUGAUGACAUAAUGGUUCUCUUUUUAAGAGUCCAGACGGUGCUUUUGUGCAUUUAGAAGUCACAAAUGGGAUUUUUCUUUUUUCUUUUUCUUUUUUACCUCGAGCGUACACACAAACACACUUGCUUGCACGUACGCACGCACACACGCUAGCACACAUACAUGCUUACUUAUGAGAUGUUACAAAAACUUCUCUUUCUUCUCUCCAUUAAAAAACUAUCGAUCUUUUGCUUUGGCUUCUCUACUUGAUGGGUUUUUUCCCCCCCAUCAUAAUGGAAAGUCUCCCUGGCCAUUUCUUCAGCCUAUUCUUCAUUUGGAGUAAUUAUAGAUGGAGAGGUAAAAGAUGUUUUUUUUCCCUCCCCCCUCUCUUUUCUUUUCUCCUUCUUGCCUAUCUUUCUCUCCCCUGCGUGCAUUCAGAGGAGCUCUCACCACUGCAUUCUUAUUAGGGACAUGUCUGAAAGGCUCUCCGCAGCAUGUGGUGUCCUCUGACCAUCCGUUAUGGCUGCUUUUUGUUGGCAUUAACAAGCCGAGCAGCCAAGGAUAGCUUUUCAACAGGUACAAACUUUUCCUUUUAGAUAAUUAACUGCAUUCAGACACUCAGCGCAGUGUAGGCAAUGUGGGUGCAGAAGCCCAGAGAGGAUCAUAUUUGAGGGGAAAAAAAGGAACAGAGAAAGGAAAGGGAGAUGGAGGAAAAAAGAAAAAAAAACUUCAUCAAAAGACAAGAUGUUCUCUUCGGUGUUGUUUAGUGCUAGUGGAUUCUAUACCAAACUCCUAUUCAAAUAGUGUGGUCUGCUUUUCUGCUCCCCUCCUCGUCCUCGUGUCUGUCCUUUUCGUCUUCUUUAUCAAGAUGGACCGUGAGAUGAGGGAAAACUUUGGUCAUUGUAGAAUGGUCAAAGGUGUGCUGCCUUAAUGAAUGGAAGAAACAAGAGAAGGGCUUUCCCUCGUUCCUCUUUGCCUCGCCGCAAAAAGCCACAGGAUGCCUCCUGAAGAAGGCCUCCUUCAUCCAUUGCCGUCUCGUCUCUUGUUAAAAGGGGCAUAAAGCGAAGGCAGAGGGGAAAAGUAAUUUUCUUUUUCCCGUCUAUCCAUUCUUUUGAUGCAGUGAAAAAGCCAGAUGUGUCUCCUGUAAUGGAAAAGAAAGGGGGGAAAAAAACUUUCAGCAAUUCCACUUUACAAAUUUUCACUGGACAGGACUGAAGUAUCAGCUAUCAAAUGUUGUAUUCACCACAUGUGAUGUGCUUCACUACAGCACUGUUAUGCAAAACCAGGGCCGACGGGUCUCUUUUCUCCCGUUGUCACCUCUUUUGUUUAAAGUGUUUAUUAGAAGUAUAAGGGAGAUGAAGCAGACAGGGCAACAGCGACGCCUUUGCUGACCUGGCGGCAGAGAUCGCUGGUUUAGGAUGACUCUCUCCUCCUUCACCAUCCAUCCGUAGCACUUCCUCCGCUCACCUGCCCCUCCCUCAGUCCCUCUGACCUCCAUUCCCAACUCUUCUGGCUGAUUACUCCUAAUGUAAUUUUAAUUAAAAACUGUGGUGUCAAAGGGUUUAGCCUGCCUGAGAAGCGGGUGCAGAUUGUGGCACAGUGGCAGACCCCUUCACUUGCUUGAGAGGAAAUGCAUCCUGACAUUGCUCGGGUGGUGCCAACACAACUAGAGCCAAGGUAAAAUAAAAAGGCUUUCUGUUUUACUUAAAUAUUGUAUACGCUUAUGCUGCAGGGGUGCAAAAGAAUCCUGAAUCUUUUCUUUUACUUAUUUGUUUCAUUUGGAUUGCAUACUGUAUUGGAUUGUGUAAGUUAUGUGAACGUUCUUUUACACACAAUACACCAGUAAUUCUCCAUCCCUGUAGGCCUGAUAUGUAUUAAACUGUUAUCCAGGCAUACAUACAUACAUACAUAUAGUCUGGAUACAAGGCAUGGACAGUUUACAAAUUACUCAAUUAUUCAAUUAAUCAAUUUGUUUUUCAGUCUUUAUUUCUGCAGAAA